This 253-nucleotide ribosomal RNA is filed under the name uncultured bacterium. RNAcentral's name for it is "partial 16S ribosomal RNA". It matches the Rfam family "Bacterial small subunit ribosomal RNA", at positions 524 to 776 of the family's 1533-position model. The record is from RNAcentral.
UACGUAGGGUGCAAGCGUUAAUCGGAAUUACUGGGCGUAAAGCGCGCGCAGGCGGCGGUGCUGGCCCGGCGUGAAAGCCCCCGGCUCAACCGGGGAGGGUCGUCGGGGACCGCACCGCUUGAGGGCGGUAGGGGCUGGUGGAAUGCCUGGUGUAGUGGUGAAAUGCGUAGAGAUCAGGCGGAACACCCGUGGCGAAGGCGGCCAGCUGGGCCGUCCCUGACGCUGAGGCGCGAAGGCGUGGGGAGCGAACGGG